Molecule: ribosomal RNA, 427 nt
Filed under: uncultured bacterium
Lineage: Bacteria
Description: partial 16S ribosomal RNA
Rfam family: Bacterial small subunit ribosomal RNA
Source: RNAcentral
UGGGGAAUUUUGGACAAUGGGCGCAAGCCUGAUCCAGCAAUGCCGCGUGAGUGAAGAAGGCCCUCGGGUUGUAAAGCUCUUUUGCCAGGGAAGAAAAGGUGAUCUCUAAUACAGGUCACUCAUGACGGUACCUGAAGAAUAAGCACCGGCUAACUACGUGCCAGCAGCCGCGGUAAUACGUAGGGUGCAAGCGUUAAUCGGAAUUACUGGGCGUAAAGCGUGCGCAGGCGGUUAUAUAAGUCAGAUGUGAAAUCCCCGGGCUCAACCUGGGAACUGCAUUUGAGACUGUAUGGCUAGAGUGUGUCAGAGGGGGGUAGAAUUCCACGUGUAGCAGUGAAAUGCGUAGAUAUGUGGAGGAAUACCGAUGGCGAAGGCAGCCCCCUGGGAUAACACUGACGCUCAUGCACGAAAGCGUGGGGAGCAAACA